UGGGAAUUUGGACAAUGGGCGAAAGCCUGAUCCAGCAAUGCCGCGUGUGUGAAGAAGGCCUUCGGGUUGUAAAGCACUUUUGUCCGGAAAGAAAUCCUUGGCUCUAAUACAGUCGGGGGAUGACGGUACCGGAAGAAUAAGCACCGGCUAACUACGUGCCAGCAGCCGCGGUAAUACGUAGGGUGCAAGCGUUAAUCGGAAUUACUGGGCGUAAAGCGUGCGCAGGCGGUUUGCUAAGACCGAUGUGAAAUCCCCGGGCUCAACCUGGGAACUGCAUUGGUGACUGGCAGGCUAGAGUAUGGCAGAGGGGGGUAGAAUUCCACGUGUAGCAGUGAAAUGCGUAGAGAUGUGGAGGAAUACCGAUGGCGAAGGCAGCCCCCUGGGCCAAUACUGACGCUCAUGCACGAAAGCGUGGGGAGCAAACAGGAUUAGAUACCCUGGUAGUCCACGCCCUAAACGAUGUCAACUAGUUGUUGGGGAUUCAUUUCCUAGUAACGUAGCUAACGCGUGAAGUUGACCGCCUGGGGAGUACGGUCGCAAGAUUAAAACUCAAAUGAAUUGACGGGGUCAAGCUG
Molecule: ribosomal RNA, 575 nt
Filed under: uncultured bacterium
Lineage: Bacteria
Description: partial 16S ribosomal RNA
Rfam family: Bacterial small subunit ribosomal RNA
Source: RNAcentral